UACAGAGGUCCCAAGCGUUGUUCGGAUUCACUGGGCGUAAAGGGUGCGUAGGUGGUGAGGUAAGUCGGAUGUGAAAGCUCGGGGCUCAACUCCGAAAUGGCAUUGGAAACUACCUUGCUCGAGGGUUGGAGGGGGGACUGGAAUACUUGGUGUAGCAGUGAAAUGCGUAGAUAUCAAGUGGAACACCAGUGGCGAAGGCGAGUCCCUGGACAACUCCUGACACUGAGGCACGAAAGCUAGGGGAGCAAACAGG
This 253-nucleotide ribosomal RNA is filed under the name uncultured bacterium. RNAcentral's name for it is "partial 16S ribosomal RNA". It matches the Rfam family "Bacterial small subunit ribosomal RNA", at positions 524 to 776 of the family's 1533-position model. The record is from RNAcentral.